AAGGGGAUAGCCUUUGGAAACGAAGAAUAAUACCCUAUAAAACCAUAAAAGCACAUGCUAGAAUGGUCAAAGUGAUAGCGGUGUAAGAUGGACUUGCGUCUGAUUAGCUAGUUGGUGAGAUAAAAGCUCACCAAGGCAACGAUCAGUAGCCGGCUUGAGAGAGUGUACGGCCACAUUGGGACUAAGACACGGCCCAG
Molecule: ribosomal RNA, 197 nt
Filed under: uncultured Eubacteriales bacterium
Lineage: Bacteria; Bacillati; Bacillota; Clostridia; Eubacteriales
Description: uncultured Clostridiales bacterium partial 16S ribosomal RNA
Rfam family: Bacterial small subunit ribosomal RNA
Source: RNAcentral